CCAGGAAUGUUCUUUCCUGACCCUACCUGAGGCGCGUCUGGGGUAACCCGGGGGUGUGAGAGCUAUCAGGGACAAUGGUUGAUUACUUAGGGUAAAUAAAGGCUAUGGUAAACGAAAGUGAAGAUAUAUCGAGGCUCGGUAAAAGGUG
Non-coding RNA from Diplodia seriata, 148 nucleotides. Lineage: Eukaryota; Fungi; Ascomycota; Dothideomycetes; Botryosphaeriales; Botryosphaeriaceae. The record is from Rfam.